AAGCUCUUCCCUUUCCACACAAACACGCAUCAAACUACAAACCCAUCAAAAAAAAAAAAAAAAAAAAAAAAAAAAAAACCAUCAAAAGCAAUGGCCGCCUGCAAAUUUGCUGAUAUAUUGCAAAGAAACAGGACCCCAAAGAUCGCCAUCAUACUCAUUUACACUUUCCUUGAAUGGGCUCUAAUUGCCCUCCUCCUCUCACAUGGAUUCUUCUCCCAUCUCAUCGCUAGGUUCACCCAUUUCUUUGGCCUGAAGCCUCCCUGCGUUCUCUGCUCUCGGUCUUACAGUGAUCUUGUUUGUGAUGCUCAUGCUGCAGAUUCUUUCAAUUUUGGUGCUUUGGAGCGUACCCAGAAAGGGAAAUUGGAGGAGGAGGAAGGAGAUGUUAAUUUAGUCUGCGAAGAAAUUGGUGUUGAAGAAAUUGAAGAAGAAAGAAAGUUUUUUAAUGAAGAUUGUGAUGAACCCUUGGAGCUGAUUACUUUGAUGGGAGGGGAGAAGAGAGUUUUGGGUGAAGCGGAAAGAUGGGUUCCCGUUGAAUUGAUUGAUUCUUCCACUUUGAACUCGAAAAGUGAAGAAAGGGACUUUGUUGCGGAGGCUCGUGAUGAGAGUUUGAAAAUGGCGGGCGAUGCAUCCUUGGAACUGAUUGCUGCGGUGCAAGUGGAGAAUGGGCUUUUGGGUGAGGGAGAGAGAUGGGUUCCUGUUGAAUUGAUUGAUUCUUCGACUUUGAACACGAAAAAUGAAGAAAGGAACCUUGUUGUUGAAGAUUGUGAUAAAAGUUCGAAAAUGGUAGGUGAUGAAUGCUUGGAAUUUAUUACUUUGAUGAGAGAGGAGGGUAGGUUUUUUAGUGAAGAGGAAAGAUGGGUUCCUGUUGAAUUGAUUGAUUCUUCGAAUUUGAGCACCGAAAAAAAUGGUCAAAUUGUGCAUUAUCAAGGAAAUGGGAAGGAGAGAGACUAUGUUGGGUAUAAGCAUGAUGAGAAUGAAGAUAUGGCUGUGGAUAUUGGAACAGUUGAAGAGGAAGAGAAGAGAUUAGCCAAGUCUCAAGAUUUUGGUGAAGUUCAAGCUUCUGAAGAGGAUAGUAGAGUGAUGGAUGCUGAUCUUAACUGUGAAAUAUCAAUAAGCAGUGAAAUUGACGACAAAGAGAAGACUAAUUUGGCUCAUUUCAAUGAAUUAGCAGUUCCUCAGGCAGUUUGCAUGAAUGAUCAAGGCCCUUCAAGCAACAUUAUCAUAGUUGAAAAGGAACAAGUAAUUGAAGCUGAACCUAUAAGACAGACUGUUCCAAGUAGUAAUAACGGGCUUUUCAUAUGUACUGAACUCAAUGAGUUUGAAGAGGAGAAAAUGGCAGAGACACCUGCUUCAAUUGAAAGUAUUUCAAGUGAAACUAAUGAAAACGAGGUAUUAACCGUCGAUAAUCUGAAAGAUGCAUUAAAAGCAGAACGCAAGACUCUACGUGCAUUAUAUGCAGAACUGGAAGAAGAGAGGAGUGCUUCAGCAAUUUCUGCUGACGAAACCAUGGCAAUGAUCACUAGGCUGCAAGAGGAAAAGGCAGCAAUGAAGGUGGAAGUAUUACACUGCCAAAGGAUGAUGGAUGAACAGUCGGAAUUUGAUCAAGAAGCUUUGCAGCUUCUGAAUGAACUCAUGAUGAAGAAGGAAAAGGAGAAUCAAGAAUUAGAAAAGGAAUUGGAGUUUUAUAAGAAGAAGGUAUUGGAGAAUGAUAGUACCAAGCACUUGAGUACUCUUGAUGAAUCAGUAGAUGAUCUUGAGGAAGAGAGGCUCUCCAUACUAGAACAACUCAAGGUAUUGGAGAAAGAAUUAUUUUCGAUGGAUGAUGACGAUGAAUUGAAAUCUGCAGAACAUCAAAUUUAUUCGAAUAAGUAUGAUGUAAAUGGUGAUUUGGUCAAUAGUUUUGAACAUGAUCAAAAUACAAAUGGAAAGCUUCAUCACGAACCAAGGACCAUGAUUAAAGGAGGAAAAAGUCUCCUCCCUCUCUUUGAUGCCACUAUCGAUACAGAGAGAGAAGAUGGAGAAUCAAAUGGUUCUUCACAAUCUAAUUCUAAAUUUGUAGUUGAUGAUGGGAAGAGACUUGCAAUCGCUCAAGAGGUUGACAAUGUAUAUCAGAGGCUACAAGCUCUAGAGGCAGAUAGAGAAUUUCUUAAGGAUUGUAUCAGAUCGUUAAAGAAAGGGGAUAAAGGGAUGGAUCUUCUUCAAGAAAUAUUGCAGCAUCUUCGGGAUCUCAGAAAAAUCGAACUCAACAUGAACCAAAGCAGGUAAUUGCUGUUAUACGCAUAAAAAUGGUACCUGUGAUUUUCUUGCAAGCUAUGUAAUUGCUGCCUCAAGCUCGCUGCCUCCUUCUGCCAAAACUGUGCAGGGUUGCUGGGCAAGGGAUCAAAGGUGGAAAAUAAUUAAAGCAAAUCUACAGUAGCUUCUUCAUCUUAUGAUUUACCAAUUACAUACAUCCUAUGUUCCCCAACUUGCAUCGCAUCAACCUUUGGAUGCUCUGUCACCCUACUAUACUGCUCGACGAUGAGAUAUCUAUACAACAUCAAAUAUCACUUACACGAGAACUGUUGACCUAUUUGCUGCCGAAAGGAGUGGACUGAGGCUACAGAAUCGUAUAAACAAGCGAAUUAAACUAAGUGAUUUGCUUGCAAAGUUUUGGAGAGUUGUUUAAUUCAUCAUUCUUUGCUCUCUGGAGCCACAGAGCUCGGGGUGGUGGUGGUUUUGUACGUGCUGGUGUUGCUACUUUGUAUCUCGGUGACAAAGAAUUUGUGUAUUGAUUAUCUUAUGAUCCAUGUAUUGACAUGUUUUGUAAGGUCUGGUCUCCUUUUCUCUCUCUUGAAUGAAACAGAAUGUGCAUGCUCCAUUUCCAUGUGCGAAGAGGAAAAUGCAGCAUGCCUGGGGACUUCUCUCAUCUUAAUGGAGGACAUUAUCUUCAAUGGAUUUCUGAUAUCUCAGUGUCCAUCUUCCAUUUUGCCAAUGUCAGUGUGAAUAGAUAGAGAUAACUUGGACUUUGAAGUCCUC
Molecule: RNA transcript, 3015 nt
Organism: Asparagus officinalis (garden asparagus)
Lineage: Eukaryota; Viridiplantae; Streptophyta; Magnoliopsida; Asparagales; Asparagaceae
Gene name: myosin-binding protein 3-like
Exons: 7
Source: RefSeq, a predicted model, not a curated record